This 76-nucleotide transfer RNA is filed under the name Bacillota bacterium. RNAcentral's name for it is "Firmicutes bacterium (anaerobic digester metagenome) tRNA-Trp". It matches the Rfam family "tRNA". From Rfam's summary of the family: Transfer RNA (tRNA) molecules are approximately 80 nucleotides in length. Their secondary structure includes four short double-helical elements and three loops (D, anti-codon, and T loops). Lineage: Bacteria; Bacillati; Bacillota. The record is from RNAcentral.
AGGGGAGUAGCUCAAUUGGCAGAGCACCGGUCUCCAAAACCGGGUGUUGCGGGUUCAAGUCCUGUCUCCCCUGCCA